GUUUGAGAAAAUGGGGUAUUGGGGAGAGAAGGGGAAAUUGGGAGAAGAAGGCUAGGGUUCUGAAAAUCUGUGGUGGGGUUUGGAUUUGGGAGAAUCUAUAGUGUCAAACACCCCCUAGCAUUUUUCUCCCAAUUUCCCCUUCUCUCCCAAAUAUCCCAUUUUCUCAAACU
Molecule: microRNA precursor, 170 nt
Filed under: Prunus dulcis (almond)
Lineage: Eukaryota; Viridiplantae; Streptophyta; Magnoliopsida; Rosales; Rosaceae
Description: sRNA ncRNA
Source: RNAcentral